GACGAACGCUGGCGGCGUGCUUAACACAUGCAAGUCGAACGGAAAGGCCCUGCUUGCAGGGUAUUCGAGUGGCGAACGGGUGAGUAACACGUGGGUGAUCUGCCCUGCACUUCGGGAUAAGCCUGGGAAACUGGGUCUAAUACCGGAUAGGAGCCAUUUUUAGUGGGAUGGUUGGAAAGUUUUUUCGGUGUUGGAUGAGCUCGCGGCCUAUCAGCUUGUUGGUGGGGUAAUGGCCUACCAAGGCGGCGACGGGUAGCCGGACUGAGGGGGUGGACGGCCACAUUGGGACUGAGAGACGGCCCAGACUCCUAAGGGGGGCAGCAGGGGGGAAUAUUGCACAAUGGGCGCAAGCCUGAUGCAGCGACGCCGCGUGGGGGAUGACGGCCUUCGGGUUGUAAACUCCUUUCGCUAGGGACGAAGCUUUUUGUGACGGUACCUAGAUAAGAAGCACCGGCUAACUACGUG
Molecule: ribosomal RNA, 465 nt
Filed under: uncultured bacterium
Lineage: Bacteria
Description: partial 16S ribosomal RNA
Rfam family: Bacterial small subunit ribosomal RNA
Source: RNAcentral